RNAcentral lists this RNase P RNA (368 nucleotides) under Rhodoblastus acidophilus. RNAcentral's name for it is "Bacterial RNase P class A". It matches the Rfam family "Bacterial RNase P class A". From Rfam's summary of the family: Ribonuclease P (RNase P) is a ubiquitous endoribonuclease, found in archaea, bacteria and eukarya as well as chloroplasts and mitochondria. Lineage: Bacteria; Pseudomonadati; Pseudomonadota; Alphaproteobacteria; Hyphomicrobiales; Rhodoblastaceae. The record is from Rfam by way of RNAcentral.
CCAGUCGGCCGGACAGCCGCUGUCGCAAGACAGAGGAAAGUCCGGGCUCCACGGAGAAACGGCGCCGGAUAACGUCCGGCGGGGGCGACCCCAGGGAAAGCGCCACAGAAAGCAAACCUCCUUCGCAUGCGAAGGGAAGGGUGAAAGGGUGCGGUAAGAGCGCACCGCGCGGGCGGCGACGUCAGCGGCAUGGCAAGCCCCGCCGGGAGCAAAACCGAAUAGGGACGACAGGAGGUUUUCCUCCACCCUUCUCCGGGGCGUCGUCCGGGUUGGUUGCAAAAGGCCUCCAGCAAUGGAGGUCGCAGAUGAAUGGCUGUCGCGCGCCGCAAGGCGCCAUACAGAACCCGGCUUACAGGCCGACUGGCGCC